This 107-nucleotide small nuclear RNA is filed under the name Culex quinquefasciatus (southern house mosquito). The record is from RNAcentral. Lineage: Eukaryota; Metazoa; Arthropoda; Insecta; Diptera; Culicidae.
GUCUUUGCUUCGGCAAGACAUAUACUAAAAUUGGAACGAUACAGAAAAGAUUAGCAUGGCCCCUGCACAAGGAUGACACGCAAAAUCGUGAAGCGUUCCACAUUUUU